AGCCCCUCGUGUGGCGCUAUCUCUUUGAACCCCCCCAGGGCCGGAAGGCAGCAAGGGUAGGAGAGCUCUGGCGGGUACACGGGGGGUCCUU
Molecule: signal recognition particle RNA, 91 nt
Filed under: Kitasatospora sp. NA04385
Lineage: Bacteria; Bacillati; Actinomycetota; Actinomycetes; Kitasatosporales; Streptomycetaceae
Description: signal recognition particle sRNA small type
Rfam family: Bacterial small signal recognition particle RNA
About the family: The signal recognition particle (SRP) is a universally conserved ribonucleoprotein involved in the co-translational targeting of proteins to membranes. Archaeal SRP consists of a 7S RNA and homologues of the eukaryotic SRP19 and SRP54 proteins. In most bacteria, the SRP consists of a 4.5S RNA and the Ffh protein (a homologue of the eukaryotic SRP54 protein).
Source: RNAcentral